UACGGAGGAGGCAAGCGUUAUCCGGAAUUAUUGGGCGUAAAGCGUCCGCAGGUGGCACUUCAAGUCUGUCGUCAAAGACUGGGGCUUAACCCCGGAAAGGCGGUGGAAACUGAAGCGCUAGAGUGCGGUAGGGGUAGAGGGAAUUCCCGGUGUAGCGGUGAAAUGCGUAGAGAUCGGGAAGAACAUCGGUGGCGAAAGCGGCGCACUGGACCAUAACUGACGCUGAGGCGCGAAAGCUAGGGGAGCAAACAGG
Molecule: ribosomal RNA, 253 nt
Filed under: uncultured bacterium
Lineage: Bacteria
Description: partial 16S ribosomal RNA
Rfam family: Bacterial small subunit ribosomal RNA
Source: RNAcentral